UACGAAGGGUGCUAGCGUUGUUCGGAAUGACUGGGCGUAAAGGGUGCGUAGGUGGCCAUACACGUCAGAUGUGAAAUCCCUAGGCUUAACCUAGGAAUGGCAUUUGAUACGGUGUGGCUAGAGUAUGGUAGAGGGUAGUGGAAUUGCAAGUGUAGAGGUGAAAUUCGUAGAUAUUUGCAGGAACACCAGUGGCGAAGGCGACUACCUGGGCCAUUACUGACACUGAGGCACGAAAGCGUGGGGAGCAAACAGG
RNAcentral lists this ribosomal RNA (253 nucleotides) under uncultured bacterium. RNAcentral's name for it is "partial 16S ribosomal RNA". It matches the Rfam family "Bacterial small subunit ribosomal RNA", at positions 524 to 776 of the family's 1533-position model. The record is from RNAcentral.